AUCUGGAAUUAAGCUCAACUAUUUAGACUUCUCGACCAGUAGGCCAAGUGCCAAGUGGUAUUUAGAAUGUCCAGAUAAGUUUGCCACUUCUCUACGCUUGUGCAGUGGUCAGGUAAGGGCCACUAAUUGCAUUACCUUCACCGUCUGCAUGUAUGUAUGUCUGUUUCCCUUCUAUGGUUCUACUCAUUGGGCCUAUGUGGUCAGGUAAGGGCCACUAUAUGAAACUUUACCUUGUUAGGCCUAGUAUAAUCUAGGUAGGGUCGACCUAAGCCACGUUUCCCAUUUUUCUAUGGUUGUAUUUUUAUUAUAGUGGUCUCGUGUAUGUAUGUCUUUUUCCCUUCUAUGGUUCUACCCAUUGGGCCUAUGUGGUCAGGUAAGGACCACCAAAAUUAUUGAAACUUUACCUAGUAAUCUAGGUAGGGUCGACCUAACCACUUUUCUCAUUUGUCUAUGGUUGUAUCUUUUCAUUAUAGUGGUCAGGUAAGGACCACAUUUUCCCUCGUUUCACCACAAUACUGGUCAGUAAUUUGACCUAAGCCACGUUUCUCAUUUUUCUAUGGUUGUAUCUUUCAUUAUAGUGGUCAGGUAAGGACCACAUUGUCCCUCGUUUCACCACAAUACUGGUCAGUAAUUUGACCUUAGCCACGUUUCUUAUUUUUCUAUGGUUGUAUCUUUCAUUAUAGUCGUCAGGUAAGGACCACAUUUUCCCUCGUUUCACCACUCUACCGGUCACUAAUUUGACCAAGAAAUCACUGUGUAUUAUACUGACUUAACCUAGCUCCGCUAGGUGGACAUGUUUUCUCUUUUUAUAAGUCCAUUUUCAGCCACUUGUAGGUAAAUUAUGACGACAUGCAAGCCCGAGUGUUGCUCUCAGAUGCGGAGGAACCGGAAGCAGGGAGGAGGAACAACGGAUGCCGGAGGACCCUGCUUGCCGGGCGACCCAUUACUGCUUUCUUGAGAUGAGGGUCUACAAGCUGAGAUGUCAUUCUAAUAUCGAUUCCGAAUCCCAAGGAACCGGAAGCAGGGAGGAGGACCGACGGAAGGACUGAUGACCUGCUUGCAGAGCAAGUCUUCACCAAUUCUUAAGAUUCCUCUUGCCUCGCGUAAGCAGCAGAAACAGUGGCAAUACACAUUAUGGAGUGCAGUUGUUCAAUAUGCGCUGAUGAUCUAUGGAGUAUUAUAUACUUGGUUGCCACUGUAAUUUGGAGCCGGAUCGGGAAUCUCCCCGUGUUUUUUUUUCCCAAAAAGGAUUUUUGGCGGGGUUUUCGCCCAUCCCGUAAUCAGGAAUUCGUGCCUUAUACUGAAAUGCUUAAAAUUAUAUUUUAGUUGAUUUUAAAACGUUUGUCAUACCCCGGGUAAAUAAAUGUAAUAAAUAAAUAAAUAAAUACAUAACUUUAAAUAGAGGAUCGGAAAUGGAAUCAUCAGAUUUUCCAAUAAUGGUUUUCAGUAGUAAAAAACAACAACCUCAAAUGAGAAUUUGUUUCUGAAAAAUUAUUUUCAGCCCGUCCCAAGUCCAUAUUAGUGGGUUUCAAAUAAUUCUUGUUCGUACAUUUAGUCACUCGACAUUUUAUUUUGUUUCCUUCUUAAUGCCAUAAUUGAUACACAUGUAUAAUGUUUAUUUUUUGGCAAUUUUGCAGAUUAAACCUGAGUGAAUAAGAACUUAUUGU
Molecule: long non-coding RNA, 1667 nt
Filed under: Patiria miniata (bat star)
Lineage: Eukaryota; Metazoa; Echinodermata; Asteroidea; Valvatida; Asterinidae
Description: uncharacterized LOC119722455
Source: RNAcentral